Molecule: ribosomal RNA, 322 nt
Filed under: uncultured eukaryote
Lineage: Eukaryota
Description: partial 18S ribosomal RNA
Rfam family: Eukaryotic small subunit ribosomal RNA
Source: RNAcentral
CCCUUAGAUGUUCUGGGCCGCACGCGUGCUACACUGAGUGGAUCAGCGGGUCAGGUUGCGCGAAAGCGUUUCCUAAUCUUUAAAUCCGCUCGUGAUGGGGAUUGACGGUUGCAAUUUUCUGUCAUGAACGAGGAAUACCUUGUAAGCGCGGGUCAUCAUCCCGCGCUGAAUACGUCCCUGCCCUUUGUACAAACCGCCCGUCGCUCCUACCGAUUGAGUGGUCCGGUGAGGCUUUGGGAUCUGAGCGGAAAGAGCGUUUCGCUGUUUCUGCUCGGAAAACUCAGUCGAACCUUAUCAUUUAGAGGAAGGAGAAGUCGUAACA